GACGAACGCUGGCGGCGUGCUUAACACAUGCAAGUCGAACGAAGAGCGAUGGAAGCUUGCUUCUAUCAAUCUUAGUGGCGAACGGGUGAGUGACGCGUAAUCAACCUGCCCUUCAGAGGGGGACAACAGUUGGAAACGACUGCUAAUACCGCAUACGAUCUAACCUCGGCAUCGAGGAUAGAUGAAAGGUGGCCUCUACAUGUAAGCUAUCACUGAAGGAGGGGAUUGCGUCUGAUUAGCUAGUUGGAGGGGUAACGGCCCACCAAGGCGAUGAUCAGUAGCCGGUCUGAGAGGAUGAACGGCCACAUUGGGACUGAGACACGGCCCAGACUCCUACGGGAGGCAGCAGUGGGGAAUCUUCCGCAAUGGACGAAAGUCUGACGGAGCAACGCCGCGUGAGUAAUGACGGCCUUCGGGUUGUAAAGCUCUGUUAAUCGGGACGAAAGGCCUUCUUGCGAAUAGUUAGAAGGAUGA
RNAcentral lists this ribosomal RNA (474 nucleotides) under uncultured bacterium. Its description in RNAcentral is "bacterial SSU rRNA". It matches the Rfam family "Bacterial small subunit ribosomal RNA", at positions 28 to 472 of the family's 1533-position model. The record is from RNAcentral.